Molecule: ribosomal RNA, 420 nt
Filed under: bacterium
Lineage: Bacteria
Description: partial 16S ribosomal RNA
Rfam family: Bacterial small subunit ribosomal RNA
Source: RNAcentral
UGGGGGAUAUUGCACAAUGGGCGAAAGCCUGAUGCAGCGACGCCGCGUGGGGGAUGAAGGCUUUCGGGUUGUAAACCUCUUUCGCUAUCGAACAAGGCCCGCUUAGGGUGGGUUGAGGGUAGGUGGAGAAGAAGCGCCGGCUAACUACGUGCCAGCAGCCGCGGUAAUACGUAGGGCGCGAGCGUUGUCCGGAAUUAUUGGGCGUAAAGGGCUUGUAGGCGGCUUGUUGCGCCUGCUGUGAAAACGCGGGGCUUAACUUCGCGCGUGCAGUGGGAACGGGCAGGCUUGAGUGUGGUAGGGGGGACUGGAAUUCCAGGUGUAGCGGUGGAAUGCGCAGAUAUCUGGAGGAACACCGAUGGCGAAGGCAGGUCACUGGGCCAUUACUGACGGUGAAGAGCGAAAGCAUGGGUAGCGAACAGG